This 459-nucleotide long non-coding RNA is filed under the name Rattus norvegicus (Norway rat). RNAcentral describes it as "long non-coding RNA NONRATT015225". The record is from RNAcentral. Lineage: Eukaryota; Metazoa; Chordata; Mammalia; Rodentia; Muridae.
CUUUUCCCCCUUUUGGAAAAGUUUUGUUUAGCAUGAUUCAGAAUAGUAGUGACUCUUUUAGAAAGAUCAUGGAUAAGUCUCAACAAGUUGAACAAGCUUAUCAACAGUUAACUAGAAGGAAAAGAGAAGGUAACAUUGAGCAAGAAAUGAAAGAAAUUAUAGAAUGGUUACAAAAGUUCCCAUAUUAUUCUGAGGGGCCAUAAACAUAGAGUUUAAACUUUAUUAAAAUAAAGGUAAAUGUUGAAUGCAUACCUGGUGCCCACAAAUCUGUCAGUAUAACUGCAGUUUUCUAAACUAUUGUUUGCAGCUGAGAAUUGUUUCCUAGACUGUACGUUCAGCUUUCCUCCUUGCAAGGGACAUUUGGUGGGGUGAUGACUAAGAGCUGGAUGACUGCCAAUUAUGAUGUACCUGUUCUAACUGCUUAAAUCUAUGCCAAGAAGUAAAGCUUUAUGCAGCAGC